UCACUUCAACCCCCCCCGGGGACGCCCCGCCCUUCCCCUCGCUUCUCCCGAAUCCCUCGAGGCGCGCUCGGGUUACUCGAACCCCGGGGGCAGCGGCCUGCCUUGGCGCCGGUAUCGCUCCACCUUGCGCUCCUGCGUCGCCGCGAAGAUCGCCGCGAAGGUGCCGAGUGAGAGGAAGGAGAGGACGCCGAGCGUGAACCGAUCGGACGCGGCCAUGUGCUGCGCCGCUCGCUUCCCGUCUGGACCAGCGUCGCGCCCCCCGGUCCGUCUCACACACACUGCACGGCGUGAUAUCUGAUAGGUCUCGAUUAGUGCCACUUUUUGUCCCCUUUGCUUACCGCGAAAGCAAAGUGGAUUUUCGUAUGGGCAAAUAGUCAGACAUCAAUUCGCGUUCGCGGUAUUUCGGCCUUCGCGAGAGCAAAAUCGGGGCCGAGGCCUCCUGGCGAGUCGCCGGAGAGCGGUCCCGAAGAAGGCAAAAUUGCCCGAAAAUCGACCUGAUUUCAAACUAUUUGCCCAUACAAAACAGCCACUUUGCUUUCGCGGUAGCAAAAGGGGACAAAAAGUGGCACUAAUCGGGACC
Molecule: long non-coding RNA, 580 nt
Filed under: Micromonas commoda
Lineage: Eukaryota; Viridiplantae; Chlorophyta; Mamiellophyceae; Mamiellales; Mamiellaceae
Description: long non-coding RNA (MCOM_LNC000002)
Source: RNAcentral